AAUAGAUACCCCGGUAGUCCACGCCGUAAACGAUGAGUGCUAAGUGUUAGAGGGUUUCCGCCCUUUAGUGCUGCAGCUAACGCAUUAAGCACUCCGCCUGGGGAGUACGGCCGCAAGGCUGAAACUCAAAGGAAUUGACGGGGGCCCGCACAAGCGGUGGAGCAUGUGGUUUAAUUCGAAGCAACGCGAAGAACCUUACCAGGUCUUGACAUCCUCUGCCAACCCUAGAGAUAGGGCGUUCCCCCUUCGGGGGACAGAGUGACAGGUGGUGCAUGGUUGUCGUCAGCUCGUGUCGUGAGAUGUUGGGUUAAGUCCCGCAACGAGCGCAACCCUUGAUCCUAGUUGCCAGCAUUCAGUUGGGCACUCUAAGGUGACUGCCGGUGACAAACCGGAGGAAGGUGGGGAUGACGUCAAAUCAUCAUGCCCCUUAUGACCUGGGCUACACACGUGCUACAAUGGAUGGUACAAAGAGCUGCGAACCCGCGAGGGUAAGCGAAUCUCAUAAAGCCAUUCUCAGUUCGGAUUGUAGG
Molecule: ribosomal RNA, 530 nt
Filed under: uncultured bacterium
Lineage: Bacteria
Description: bacterial SSU rRNA
Rfam family: Bacterial small subunit ribosomal RNA
Source: RNAcentral